This 518-nucleotide ribosomal RNA is filed under the name Cytobacillus horneckiae. RNAcentral describes it as "bacterial SSU rRNA". It matches the Rfam family "Bacterial small subunit ribosomal RNA", at positions 28 to 525 of the family's 1533-position model. The record is from RNAcentral. Lineage: Bacteria; Bacillati; Bacillota; Bacilli; Caryophanales; Bacillaceae.
UGCGCCGACAGCUGGCGGCGUGCCUAAUACAUGCAGUCGAGCGAACCAGAUGGGAGCUUGCUCCCUGAGGUUAGCGGCGGACGGGUGAGUAACACGUGGGCAACCUGCCUGUAAGACUGGGAUAACUCCGGGAAACCGGGGCUAAUACCGGAUAAUUCAUUUCCUCUCAUGAGGAAAUGCUGAAAGACGGUUUCGGCUGUCACUUACAGAUGGGCCCGCGGCGCAUUAGCUAGUUGGUGAGGUAACGGCUCACCAAGGCCACGAUGCGUAGCCGACCUGAGAGGGUGAUCGGCCACACUGGGACUGAGACACGGCCCAGACUCCUACGGGAGGCAGCAGUAGGGAAUCUUCCGCAAUGGACGAAAGUCUGACGGAGCAACGCCGCGUGAGCGAAGAAGGCCUUCGGGUCGUAAAGCUCUGUUGUUAGGGAAGAACAAGUAUCGGAGUAACUGCCGGUACCUUGACGGUACCUAACCAGAAAGCCACGGCUAACUACGUGCCAGCAGCCCGGUUUAAUA